CUCGUAGGCGGCCAACUAAGUCAGACGUGAAAUCCCUCGGCUUAACCGGGGAACUGCAUCUGAUACUGGAUGGCUUGAGAUUGGGAGAGGGAUGCGGAAUUCCAGGUGUAGCGGUGAAAUGCGUAGAUAUCUGGAGGAACACCGGUGGCGAAGGCGGCAUCCUGGACCAACACUGACGCUGAGGAGCGAAAGCCAGGGGAGCAAAACGG
This 209-nucleotide ribosomal RNA is filed under the name uncultured bacterium. RNAcentral describes it as "partial 16S ribosomal RNA". It matches the Rfam family "Bacterial small subunit ribosomal RNA", at positions 568 to 776 of the family's 1533-position model. The record is from RNAcentral.